Molecule: small nucleolar RNA, 122 nt
Organism: Magnolia sinica
Lineage: Eukaryota; Viridiplantae; Streptophyta; Magnoliopsida; Magnoliales; Magnoliaceae
Product: small nucleolar RNA snoR111
Exons: 1
Source: RefSeq, a predicted model, not a curated record
CCUCUUAGUGAGUGGCGUCUUUUGGUGUUUCAUAAUGGAAUGAACAGAGGAAAGUAAACAAGUCGAGAUAUCAUUUCAGUCGCCCUCAUUGAAUGGCGAUUUGAUUGUUGACUCAACAACAU